GCCUGGGUAGUUCAGUCCGCUGAGCGUCCGACUUCGGCUCAGGUCACUCACGAUCUCACGGUUUGUGGGUUCGAGCCCCACUCUGGGCU
This 89-nucleotide transfer RNA is filed under the name Felis catus (domestic cat). It matches the Rfam family "tRNA". From Rfam's summary of the family: Transfer RNA (tRNA) molecules are approximately 80 nucleotides in length. The record is from Rfam by way of RNAcentral. Lineage: Eukaryota; Metazoa; Chordata; Mammalia; Carnivora; Felidae.